CUAAAGUGGCCCUCAAAUAAUAUUAAUUGGUCAUAAGCCCUGCCCUAUGCCCAUAUAUGUAAGUAUAUUGUUAUGUAUAAUUUUUGGAUCUGUUGCACGCGUUGUUUGUGUAAAAACGACGAUGGUGAUGGCGUUCUCGGCAACCACGGAUACGUCGUGUAUAAUAUAUAAUGUAUUUUAACGUUGUAUAGUUAUUUAGGUGCGCGCAAGAGAGAGCGAGGGCGUCCGGCACGGUGUCCCGGUCACUGACCGACACGGCGGCGGUCGCCACUGCCGCCGCCACGGCAGCGUCAGCAAGCAGCAGCGGCAACUGCAGCAGUGGCUUUCACCAACGUGAACAUAUAGCUGCAACAGCAUCUGCAUCGCCAUCCACGAACGUGGCUUGUGUGUGAUUACGAAUACAAUAAACGCACAUAUUAUAGCGAGAACAGAGAGCAGGGAGACUGAGAGAGGCUACCCAAGCUUAUACAACCAAAUAGUAUUUAUACAUUUUUAGAUUCUGAGCGGCGCGAUGAAUGUAUUAAUUUUACAAUGAUACAUAAUUUCAAGGUAUCCCUGCAACAAAUUUGGACGAAAAUUACAAAUCUUGCAAAAUGUGUAUAUAUUGAUCGAAUUGUACACAAAAACUACAAAAUCACGGUAUUUUAAAAGCUACAUUGGUAUUGGAGGUUAUAUAAUAAAUAAUUAUAUAUAUUUUUUAUUUUUGAGUAGUGAGAUCCUAACAAAAGUUUUAUGUAACUUCUAUAUAAUAUAUGGUAUUAGAAAAUGGACCUCAUAAUAUAAGUAUCUUGUCAUAUCCAUCGGUUUGUUAAUGUAUAUUUACUGGUAAUUGUUAAG
Long non-coding RNA from Metopolophium dirhodum (rose-grain aphid), 837 nucleotides. RefSeq lists it as uncharacterized. The record is from RefSeq and is a predicted model, not a curated record. The transcript is spliced from 3 exons. Lineage: Eukaryota; Metazoa; Arthropoda; Insecta; Hemiptera; Aphididae.